CCUUAUGUCUAGGGCUACACACGUGCUACAAUGGUGAGUACAAAGAGAUGCAAGACCGCAAGGUGGAGCCAAACUCAAAAACUCAUCCCAGUUCGGAUUGUAGGCUGCAACUCGCCUACAUGAAGCCGGAGUUGCUAGUAAUCGCGAAUCAGCAUGUCGCGGUGAAUACGUUCCCGGGCCUUGUACACACCGCCCGUCACACCAUGAGAGUUGGUAACACCCGAAGUCCGUGAGGUAACCGUAAGGAGCYAGCGGCCGAAGGUGGGAUUGAUGAUUGGGGUGAAGUCGUAACAAGGUAGCCGUAGGAGAACCUGCGGCUGGAUCACCUCCUUUCUAGGGAG
Molecule: ribosomal RNA, 341 nt
Filed under: Clostridium sp. FP2
Lineage: Bacteria; Bacillati; Bacillota; Clostridia; Eubacteriales; Clostridiaceae
Description: bacterial SSU rRNA
Source: RNAcentral